RNAcentral lists this ribosomal RNA (759 nucleotides) under uncultured Prevotella sp. Its description in RNAcentral is "bacterial SSU rRNA". It matches the Rfam family "Bacterial small subunit ribosomal RNA", at positions 28 to 776 of the family's 1533-position model. The record is from RNAcentral. Lineage: Bacteria; Pseudomonadati; Bacteroidota; Bacteroidia; Bacteroidales; Prevotellaceae.
GAUGAACGCUAGCUACAGGCUUAACACAUGCAAGUCGCAGGGUAACAUGAGGAAAGCUUGCUUUCCUUGAUGACGACUGGCGCACGGGUGAGUAACGCGUAUCCAACCUUCCCAUAACUACGGGAUAACCCGUUGAAAGACGGCCUAAUACCGUAUGACAUCGUUUGCUGACAUCAAAUAACGAUUAAAGGUUUAGCGGUUAUGGAUGGGGAUGCGUCUGAUUAGCUUGUUGGCGGGGUAACGGCCCACCAAGGCUACGAUCAGUAGGGGUUCUGAGAGGAAGGUCCCCCACAUUGGAACUGAGAUACGGUCCAAACUCCUACGGGAGGCAGCAGUGAGGAAUAUUGGUCAAUGGGCGAGAGCCUGAACCAGCCAAGUAGCGUGCAGGAAGACGGCCCUAUGGGUUGUAAACUGCUUUUAUGUGGGGAUAAAGUGCGCGACGUGUCGUGCAUUGCAGGUACCACAUGAAUAAGGACCGGCUAAUUCCGUGCCAGCAGCCGCGGUAAUACGGAAGGUCCGGGCGUUAUCCGGAUUUAUUGGGUUUAAAGGGAGCGUAGGCUGUCUAUUAAGCGUGUUGUGAAAUUUACCGGCUCAACCGGUGGCUUGCAGCGCGAACUGGUCGACUUGAGUAUGCAGGAAGUAGGCGGAAUUCAUGGUGUAGCGGUGAAAUGCUUAGAUAUCAUGACGAACUCCGAUUGCGCAGGCAGCUUACUGUAGCAUAACUGACGCUGAUGCUCGAAAGUGCGGGUAUCAAACAGG